UACGUAGGGGGCAAGCGUUGUUCGGAAUUACUGGGCGUAAAGGGCGCGUAGGCGGCACGGCAAGUCAGGAGUGAAAGGCCUGGGCUCAACCGAGGAACUGCUUUUGAGACUGCCGAGCUAGAGUGCAGAAGGGGCAACUGGAAUUCCCAGUGUAGCGGUGAAAUGCGUAGAUAUUGGGAAGAACACCUGAGGCGAAGGCGGGUUGCUGGGCUGACACUGACGCUGAUGCGCGAAAGCCAGGGGAGCGAACGGG
RNAcentral lists this ribosomal RNA (253 nucleotides) under uncultured bacterium. Its description in RNAcentral is "partial 16S ribosomal RNA". It matches the Rfam family "Bacterial small subunit ribosomal RNA", at positions 524 to 776 of the family's 1533-position model. The record is from RNAcentral.